UCUUAUUUAGGUAUAUCUGCCUCUUCAAGGAUAGGUCAAUUUCACUGAUUAAAAGUAAGAGACAGUUAAACCCUCGUGUGGCCAUUCAUACAAGUCCCUGUUUAGAGAAAAAGUGAUUAUGCUACCUUUGCACGGUCAGGGUACUGCAGCCGUUAAACAUGUGUCACUGGGCAGGCAGUGCCUCUAAUACUGAUAAUGCUAGAGGUGAUGUUUUUGGUAAACAGGCAGGGGUAGAGUUUGCCGAGUUCCUUUUACUUUUUAAAAUCUUUCCUGGAUGCAUGCCUGUGUUGGGUUAACAGUUUAGUUAAUGGAUAAAUUAAGCUGUAGUAUGUAAUGAUUGGGCUGCUAACUAACAGUAGUUGUUUCGGUCUGAGAUAAGCUUAUGCAGGGAGAAUAAGUUCAUGUUACUUAUACUAACAUUAUUGCUUCUAUUAAGUAAUAGAUUAGUCCAAUGUGUUUUAGGAGUUCAGUGGAAUGAAUAGAAUUAAGAGUAAUUAAUAAUGAGCUUAAAUGCUUUCUUAAUUGAUGGCUGCUUUUAGGCCAACUAUGGUCGUGGAAUAUUUUACUCUCUAUAAAAGGUUAUUUCCUAGGGUCUAAAGAGCUACAUUUACAGGGGAAUUG
Long non-coding RNA from Sapajus apella (tufted capuchin), 621 nucleotides. RefSeq lists it as uncharacterized. The transcript has 4 exons. The record is from RefSeq and is a predicted model, not a curated record. NCBI's taxonomy places the organism in Eukaryota, Metazoa, Chordata, Mammalia, Primates, Cebidae.